Molecule: long non-coding RNA, 1910 nt
Organism: Notolabrus celidotus (New Zealand spotty)
Lineage: Eukaryota; Metazoa; Chordata; Actinopteri; Labriformes; Labridae
Exons: 2
Source: RefSeq, a predicted model, not a curated record
UCUUCCCCUCGGACAUGCCUGACUCCUCACAGUUUGGGCACUUAACCAGCUUUCUGCUAAUGUAUAAAAAAAGAGUUCAUGGACCGAAUAGCGAUAUCAGUUGCCGUGCUGGGUGGAUACUUAAUCAUCCAGCGAUUCGUCCCAGAGUCUGCAGGAGACAAACGAGUCUUUACGCACCGCCGAUGCGCAGCAGUCUGCCCCCGCGCGCUGCUUUCUGCGUCCCCAAGCAAGUCCUGCAGGUCCUGUGGCCGGCCUCAGAUCAGAUACUGCAAGUUUGCACUGCCAUAGCAGCAGUUUCGGUGGUGUUGGCCCACUGUGACACUUCAGGAAGUCAAAGUUAUCUGCCCACAGCGCCAAAACAACUAUCAAAUGGUUUGCUGACAAUGAUACUGCUGCACCUGACUGGCCAGCAGAUUAACCCAACCUGAAACCCAUAGAGAAUCAGUAGCAUGAUUGUCAAGAGGAAGAUGAGAAACACCCAACCAAACAUACAGACCAGCUGGAGCAACCUGGGCUUCGAUAACACCUCCCCAGAGCUAAAAAACGAUUGGCUCCAAGCUGAUGCAAUGGGGAAAUGUCUCCUCACAUGGUUGUACACAGCAGUUAAUGGUAACACAAUUCUACUACUGAUACAAAUGACCAUAGAGACUAUCUGUGGUGGGAAAAGUGCUGGUAAUGAUCAGACUGGUGGAGCACAAGGGCUCUUUCUGAAACACAAUAUGGUUUCCGGAGGUCUACAUCCACUCUGGAUAUAACUGUCAUUGUUAAACAGCUAUUAGAGAAGAGCAGAGAGCAAACCAAGGAUCUCAAUCUCUGUUGACCUCAAGAAGUACUUUACAGAUGUUGCCAAGAGGAGAAUUGUAUCUUUGCACUAUGCUCAAGGUCCACACAAUAUCCUCUGACAACAAUUGCUGGCCUUCUACCAGUCCCUUAACCUUUAACUCUAACCUCAAACACAUCCCUCAACUCCAUCUUUCAGGAAUGGUGUUCCUUUCAAAAUAGUGUGCCAAUUGACAAAUCUUUGAUCAACACUUACCUCAGACUUCAUCCCUGACACUGAAACAGACAAAUGCAUUAACAAGGCCUCGACAGCCAACGAUCACCUGUACAGAAGGUUUUUAAAACAAAGCCCUGAAGGACAGCACCAAGAUAUUAAACCACAGAGUUGUGUCACCACCCUGGGGCAGAAUCAGGGACCUGAUACAAAUGACCCAUUACCAACUUGAAGGCCGUCCACAUUUUCUGCUUUCAAAAAGUUUUUGGACUUUCUUUGGAUGAGAAAAGAUCCAAACUCAUGACCAAUGCACGGAAGCAGCAGUGAUUUGCUUGUUAGGGCAUAAUAUAUGAAUGCUACACGAUUACUUUUCAAAACCCUCAAUGGAAAGCGAAGUAAUGCAAAACUGUCUCUUUAAAGGCAGAAUGGUACAUCCUCGGGACUAAUUGUAUUGUCUUGUGUAUUGUAUUGUGAGGAAAAUAGAUAUUGUGUUCUUUGCAACUUGAGAAAUGGAAGAAAAUGCCAGCAAUGAAUGCUGAUAAGUUACAUUCAAAUGUGUUACACCCUAUACAUAUCUGAGUCAUCCUUUUUUAUCACUCUCUGUUCUUAUUACAGCAAACCAGAGUGUGAAGAAGGGGCAUAAUGCCUGGAAUUGAUCCUAUGCUGCAGCAGUGAUAGUAAACUUCUUAUAUACAAUAAACUGCAGUACAAUCAUAAGUGGUGAGACAUGAACCCCCAUGGUAUCAGGAAUAAACCAGUAAUUUUGUAAAUGGCUGUCUGCUUCUUCAUAUUACAUAGUAAUAAAAAAAUGUACAGAGACACGUUCUGUGAAAUACCCAAUAUCUACAAUAUUAUUUCUGGAUGGAGAGCAGGAAGGUUGUUUGGACUUUGGAAUAAAGCCAAUGAUUUCAUCAUA